GACGAACGCUGGCGGCGUGCUUAACACAUGCAAGUCGAACGGAAAGGCCCUGCUUUUGUGGGGUGCUCGAGUGGCGAACGGGUGAGUAACACGUGAGUAACCUGCCCUUGACUUUGGGAUAGCUUCAGGAAACUGGGGCUAAUACCGGAUAGGAGCUCCUGCUGCAUGGUGGGGGUUGGAAAGUUUCGGCGGUUGGGGAUGGACUCGCGGCUUAUCAGCUUGUUGGUGGGGUAGUGGCUUACCAAGGCUUUGACGGGUAGCCGGCCUGAGAGGGUGACCGGCAACAUUGGGACUGAGAUACGGCCCAGACUCCUACGGGAGGCAGCAGGGGGGAAUAUUGCACAAUGGGCGGAAGCCUGAUGCAGCAACGCCGCGUGCGGGAUGACGGCCUUCGGGUUGUAAACCGCUUUCGCCUGUGACGAAGCGUGAGUGACGGUAAUGGGUAAAGAAGCACCGGCUAACUACGUG
This 468-nucleotide ribosomal RNA is filed under the name uncultured bacterium. Its description in RNAcentral is "partial 16S ribosomal RNA". It matches the Rfam family "Bacterial small subunit ribosomal RNA", at positions 28 to 507 of the family's 1533-position model. The record is from RNAcentral.